UGAGCUGAGACAAGGCCUUCUGUCUGU
RNAcentral lists this non-coding RNA (27 nucleotides) under Homo sapiens (human). The record is from RNAcentral. Lineage: Eukaryota; Metazoa; Chordata; Mammalia; Primates; Hominidae.